CUGAGAUCAUUUUAAACAUGGGCCGGUGGGCAGCGUGUGUUCUCCUGAGCGAGCAGGACAGGACCCGAGCACAGAGCUCGUGCUCACCACGUCACCAACGGCAGCGUUUUGGGGAGCACAGGGAAAUGCUGGGAGAAUUCCCGGCCUUCCGACUCCGGACUUUUAACUGCUUCCUGUUCCGCCAGGCUUUCAGCACCAGAGGGUUCAUGCCAAUGAUGUGGGAUGAAAGGUAACUUGGACUGUGCUGUUUUUUUCAUAUGGUGCAGAUGAAGGUUUGACGCUGAGAGCUGUUGCAUGCAGUUCACUUUUAGUUGGGAAUAGUUGCCCGUUUUAUUCUGUGUUCAGACGACUGACCCACUGUGUGCCUGUGUUAUAUGAGUGAUUAUACAGAGAGACUGGUGCCUGUGUUACAUGAGUGAUUAAACAGAGAGACUGGUGCCUGUGUUAUAUAAGUGAUUAAACAGGGAGACUGGUGCCUGUGUUAUAUGAGUGGUUAAACAGGGAGACUGGUGCCUGUGUUAUAUGAGUGAUUAAACAGGGAGACUGGUGCCUGUGUUAUAUGAGUGGUUAAACAGGGAGACUGGUGCCUGUGUUAUAUGAGUGGUUAAAUAGAGAGACUGGUGCCUGUGUUAUAUGAGUGGUUAAACGGAGAGAGGCAUAGUUUGGAGAGUGACUGUUGGUGUAUGGUAACUCCACCCAUUUUCAGUCAAACCAGGUAGAGUUACUCACUUGAUGCUGAAUACAUAUGCCUCAUUUUCUUCUGUAAAUUUUUUUAGACAAUCAUAUUGAGAUGUGUUUCAUUAUUAAGGAAACCUGUGGAUGUUGAUGAUGAUGACUGGAUCAGUUACCCCUCUGAGGUUCUGAUGAUUCUGUGUUCCCUGAAAAACUUAAUGUGGGUUAUUGAGUUCCCCUGGAAACAUAUUCUGUUAUUGUGAGAAAAUGGGGUUCAAAAGUACAUUUAAAACUGAAUCUGUACAUUUGCCAACUAUGAGUGGCUCUUGUUAAGAGUUCAAUAUUGUAAAUAGACUCAGAAACAAUUAUAUUAUGAAAAUGAUGAAGAAGUAUUUUUAUGGUCCUGUAAAAUAAAGGGAAAAAAUAUUCCGCUUGAGUAUUUCAUGCUUGUACAACUUAUGCAAACUGUGCUUCAUGUUCUAGUGAAAAUAUGUACACUUCAAAUAUACAAAUAUUAUAUAUUUGUAUAAUGUAUACUAAAAUGUACCAUGACAAUAAAAUUAUAUCCCAGGGGAA
This is a long non-coding RNA of Anguilla rostrata (American eel), 1248 nucleotides long. RefSeq lists it as uncharacterized. The record is from RefSeq and is a predicted model, not a curated record. NCBI's taxonomy places the organism in Eukaryota, Metazoa, Chordata, Actinopteri, Anguilliformes, Anguillidae. The transcript has 2 exons.